GACGAACGCUGGCGGCGUGCUUAAUACAUGCAAGUCGAGCGAGGCCUUGGAAUUGGAGUCCUUCGGGAUGAAGAGUCCUUGGCCUAGCGGCGGACGGGUGAGUAACGCGUGGGCAACCUACCCCAAAGUCCGGGAUAACAGUGGGAAACCGCUGCUAAUACCGGAUGGCUUUACCUGAGGGCAUCCUCGGGUAAAGAAAGGUUACGCUUUGGGAUGGGCCCGCGUCCCAUUAGCUAGUUGGUGAGGUAACGGCUCACCAAGGCGACGAUGGGUAGCCGGCCUGAGAGGGUGAACGGCCACACUGGGACUGAGACACGGCCCAGACUCCUACGGGAGGCAGCAGUGAGGAAUAUUGGUCAAUGGACGAGAGUCUGAACCAGCCAAGUCGCGUGAAGGAAGACGGUUCUAUGAAUUGUAAACUUCUUUUGUGCAGGAAUAAAGUGGGUUACGUGUAACCUUUUGUAUGUACUGUACGAAUAAGGAUCGGCUAACUCCGUG
Molecule: ribosomal RNA, 498 nt
Filed under: uncultured bacterium
Lineage: Bacteria
Description: bacterial SSU rRNA
Rfam family: Bacterial small subunit ribosomal RNA
Source: RNAcentral